This is a long non-coding RNA of Mastomys coucha (southern multimammate mouse), 1158 nucleotides long. RefSeq lists it as uncharacterized. The transcript is spliced from 2 exons. NCBI's taxonomy places the organism in Eukaryota, Metazoa, Chordata, Mammalia, Rodentia, Muridae. The record is from RefSeq and is a predicted model, not a curated record.
UGGGAAAGUUAGAAGGAGCGGCUUCUGAAGUACUGUCUAGUAGCCCCACCAGAGUCCCCGCAUCGUGUCUGCCAACCGCAGCGUCCGCUCCAGCCCAGCAGAUCCUUCAGAAAUCGAUCUCAGAGUUGCAAAGGCUUUACAACUCCGACCAGGCACGGAAAGGAAACCCCGGCGCAAUCCCAAGCGUCUACAAACCCGAGAACAGCUUUCGGCCCGCACUCGACCUCUCGCUGGCUUGGCUUACUUUUUAAACCACCUCCACCCCCACCCCCACCCCCACCCCCGCGCGCGCCACUUCCUUCCCCCCACCCCUUUCCUCCUUUGCACCAGCUACAGAAUCGCAGCUAAGAUUCCUCCAAGAAAUUCACAAACACACAACUCACAACUCAGGCAAUGACCGGGGCGGGGGGGUGGGAGGGGGUGACCUGACUAUUCUAAGAUGCCACAAAUGUGGGCCUGUUCUAACCUCAGGAAGCGCAACUCUUCUGUUCAAGCAGGUCAUUGCGCGGGGUCCAUCCGAAGACCCGAGUCCCAGAACUCCCGCUCCAGAGCCCGCUCCACCCGGUCUCUUUGCCUCACUUAGGAACUCGACGUGUCCAGCUGGUUUCCAACCUGACCCCCCACCCCACCCCAGUUUUCGGGGUGGGGGGCACUUUCGGGAAACCCUUGAGAAAGAAGUGUAAAGGAUGGAGAGUCACGUCCUUCCAGGCGGCGGCGGUGGCUGCCCAGCGCCAUCCCACGCCGCUGGCCUGGGUGCAGAGACCGCGGGCGCCCCUGAGCGACAGUCCGCUCUCACCACCAGCCGCGCUGCUUUCGGAGACGAUUUCUCCAUUCUCCGACCAGCGUCGCCGCUGGGAAUAACUAGGAAAGCGCCAGAAAGGGUAAAGGGCUUAUUGUUGAUUUGUUGAUUUGUUUUUAAGGGAAAAGGAGACGGCGAUGUGCUGGCGACUGGCGCACGCGGAGCGAGGGCAGAGAGGGACCGCCGACACUCGGGAUCCCCGGACUCCUUGGGAGUCUCUGGCGGUGUGGGGAGCGCUCUCGACGUUAAAACCCAGUAAAUAGACCAAGGAGUUGUUUCAAUUUCAAGUUCACAAGGAUCCCUCUCUAAUCACUCUUUUCUCUCAUUUUUUUAAUUAAAAAAAUACAGACUAAAGUUAA